Molecule: long non-coding RNA, 587 nt
Organism: Ipomoea triloba (trilobed morning glory)
Lineage: Eukaryota; Viridiplantae; Streptophyta; Magnoliopsida; Solanales; Convolvulaceae
Exons: 2
Source: RefSeq, a predicted model, not a curated record
GCGAAGCUUGUGCGUUUGGGGUGCGUUCGUCGUUCCGAUGGCUUCGUUGGGUCAAUCGUCGCCGUCCAUCUCCCUGCUCCGCCUCACCGUUUGCUUUGCACCUUGGUAUAGGAACGAAAUAGUGACUGUACUUGGGUUAAGGAGAGCCUAAUUUGCGGUGCACAAAAGUUUCCUAGAACCUUCUUGGUUACGCGACUCACAUUGCUGGUUGAUUCUUAUCUGAACUUGCUGUCAGGUGUCACGUGGAUUAUGCAACAUCGAGAUUCUUUUGGUAUCCAACUUCAUUGAUCUUCAUUUGUUGGAUCAAUGAAGUUGUCAUUGAAGAAAGAUGGACAGUUUUUUAGGACCUACAAAUGUAUUUUUUUUCUUUUUUUUUUUUGAAAAGAAAGACACCUACAAAUGUAUUUAGAUUUACAGGCUUUGCAAAAUCACAAUGUACAUCCAAAUGGACAGUUUUUUAGGACCUACAAAUGUAUGUAUUUAGAUUUACAGGCUUUGCAAAAUCACAAUGUACAUUCAAUGUACAACUCUUGUGUAAAAAACCAGUGAUUAAUGUUUUUAUACUGAUUUGUAUUUGUUCAUUUUAA